CCUACGGGAGGCAGCAGUGGGGGAUAUUGCACAAUGGGGGGAACCCUGAUGCAGCGACGCCGCGUGGGUGAAGGAGUGCUUCGGCAUGUAAAGCCCUAUCGGCAGGGAAGAAGCAAGACGGUACCUGACUAAGAAGCCCCGGCUAACUACGUGCCAGCAGCCGCGGUAAUACGUAGGGGGCGAGCGUUAUCCGGAUUCACUGGGUGGAAAGGGAGCGUAGACGGCCAGGCAAGCCAGGGGUGAAAGCCCGGGGCCCAACCCCGGGACUGCCCUUGGAACUGCAUGGCUGGAGUGCGGGAGGGGCAGGCGGAAUUCCUGGUGUAGCGGGGAAAUGCGUAGAUAUCAGGAGGAACACCGGCGGCGAAGGCGGCCUGCUGGACCGCGACUGACGUUGAGGCUCGAAAGCGUGGGGAGCGAACAGGAUUAGAUACCCCAGUAGUC
RNAcentral lists this ribosomal RNA (441 nucleotides) under uncultured bacterium. RNAcentral's name for it is "partial 16S ribosomal RNA". It matches the Rfam family "Bacterial small subunit ribosomal RNA", at positions 338 to 795 of the family's 1533-position model. The record is from RNAcentral.